This 497-nucleotide ribosomal RNA is filed under the name uncultured bacterium. RNAcentral describes it as "partial 16S ribosomal RNA". It matches the Rfam family "Bacterial small subunit ribosomal RNA", at positions 28 to 507 of the family's 1533-position model. The record is from RNAcentral.
GAUGAACGCUGGCGGCGUGCCUAACACAUGCAAGUCGAGCGAAAAGACGAGGAGCUUGCUCCCAUGACGUCGGCGGCGGACGGGUGAGUAACACAUGGAUAACAUACCUCUAAGACGGGGGUAAUAUCGGGAAACAAGAGCUACUAACGGAUAAUAUAUUGAACCGGAUGGUUCAAUAGUUGAAGUAGGUUUUGGUGACAGUUAUAGCCGGAUACGGGCAGCAUUAGCUAGUUGGGAAGGUAACGGCUUACCAAGGCUACGAUGCGUACCCGACCUGAGAGGGUGAUCAGCCACACUGGAACUGAGACACGGUCCAGACUCCUACGGGAGGCAGCAGUAGGGAAUCUUCCGCAAUGGGCGAAAGCCUGACGGAGCAACACCGCGUGAGUGAUGAAGGACUUCGGAUCGUAAAGCUCUGUUGUUAGGAGAGAACAAAUGUGUAUUUACCUAUGCUCGUCUUGACGGUACCGAAACAAAAAGCCCCGGCUAACUACGUG